Non-coding RNA from Abortiporus biennis, 97 nucleotides. The record is from the annotation of a GenBank genome assembly. Lineage: Eukaryota; Fungi; Basidiomycota; Agaricomycetes; Polyporales; Podoscyphaceae.
GGCCCAAUGGUCUAGUAGUAUGAUACCUGCUUCGGGUUGAGUUCCAUCCGACUUUCGGAUCUGCAGGUGGUCCCGGGUUCAAUUCCCGGUUGGGCCC